UACGUAGGGUGCGAGCGUUGUCCGGAAUUAUUGGGCGUAAAGAGCUUGUAGGCGGUUUGUCGCGUCUGCCGUGAAAAUCCGGGGCUCAACCCCGGACUUGCGGUGGGUACGGGCAGACUAGAGUGUGGUAGGGGAGACUGGAAUUCCUGGUGUAGCGGUGAAAUGCGCAGAUAUCAGGAGGAACACCGAUGGCGAAGGCAGGUCUCUGGGCCACUACUGACGCUGAGAAGCGAAAGCGCGGGGAGCGAACAGG
This 253-nucleotide ribosomal RNA is filed under the name uncultured bacterium. RNAcentral's name for it is "partial 16S ribosomal RNA". It matches the Rfam family "Bacterial small subunit ribosomal RNA", at positions 524 to 776 of the family's 1533-position model. The record is from RNAcentral.